Molecule: ribosomal RNA, 253 nt
Filed under: uncultured bacterium
Lineage: Bacteria
Description: partial 16S ribosomal RNA
Rfam family: Bacterial small subunit ribosomal RNA
Source: RNAcentral
UACGUAGGGACCAAGCGUUGUUCGGAUUUACUGGGCGUAAAGGGCGCGUAGGCGGCGCGGUAAGUCACUUGUGAAAUCUCUGAGCUUAACUCAGAACGGCCGAGUGAUACUGCAGUGCUAGAGUGUGGAAGGGGCAAUCGGAAUUCUUGGUGUAGCGGUGAAAUGCGUAGAUAUCAAGAGGAACACCUGAGGUGAAGACGGGUUGCUGGGCCAACACUGACGCUGAGGCGCGAAAGCCAGGGGAGCAAACGGG